RNAcentral lists this long non-coding RNA (3641 nucleotides) under Sus scrofa (pig). Its description in RNAcentral is "lncRNA (ENSSSCG00015038153.1)". The record is from RNAcentral. Lineage: Eukaryota; Metazoa; Chordata; Mammalia; Artiodactyla; Suidae.
AUAUGGAAAUUAAAAAACUUUUCCCUUAUUUGUGUGACGUGUAUCUCUCCAUACACACAGACGUUUAUAAGAAACAUGUCUAUAGUUUGUCUUUAGGAUAUCCCUGGAAUUAAUUUAUUGGGAACAUUGGCUGACUGCAUUUCUCAGUGUUAAUCACAUAUUUGCUUUUAACAUCUCUUGUAUUGUCACCUUUGUUGUUACUUAACUCUUAUUGCUUGCUUUUUUGUUGUUGUUGUUAUACAUACUUUGUCAGGAGGAUGGUGAUAGAAUUCUUUGGAGUUCCUCCUGUAACUAGCUCCCUGCCUUUCUUAUAUGUACUCAAGAGUGUUUUGCUUGAGAUUCAUAGUGCCAUAAAUUUUGAAAGCACUGUGUAGUCUAUAAACCUUGGGGGGUUUUCCUAGAGGUAAUUUUUCCCUUACUUGUGCAGUUAGUUGUUUAUUGUGGACUUUAACAAUUAAUAAUGACAAAUUAAAGUAAUAGUUUAAGAUAUGAUUUUAUCCAUAUUCUUUUGAUAAUUUGCAAAUUGGGCUCCCUCGAGCACUCAGGACCUGCCUCUACUACCACCCACUCAUCACCCUGCACUGCUCUCAUCUCUGUGUCCUCCACUGGGAAGUUAGCUCUGCAAGGAUAGCGGCAGUGUUUUUUGAUAUUGGUGCCGCAACACCUAGCACAAUGCCUGUUUCCAAGUGUUUAUGGGAAUUGACCUCCUUUUAAAGUAUCCUAAGUUUCCUAAAAGAUGGUUGAUGCCUACCUGAGUUGAACAGGGUGGGCAAGUUCAAUAUUUCCAAAUGCUCAGGAGAAAAAUCAAGUAUUUGUGAACAGCUCUACCACAGAGGCAAGGCGUGGAAAGGUUUUUGAAAAUUAUUAAUAGGAGCCAGUGGGAAAAUGUGAGACAAUACUUACUAUUUUUGUCAGCCUAAGAGCAGAUCUGAAGUCUAAGGUGAAGUCAGUUUUUAAUUGUUUCUAUUUAAUGAUAGUUAAAUGUUCACAACUUAUUUUGUUUUAGAUUUGUGACUUGAAGAUACUUCAUUAUCUUUAUUUGGUAAGUUAGUGAUUACUCCAAAUUUGACUGACUUGGCUACAUGUUAAAGAUAUUUGUGGAGUUUUAACCCAACAUAUUUUGUUUGUUUGAAUAUGAUAAAGGAAUGAGACCAAUAUCCUUGAUUCAGUUUAAGGAGGGAUUAAUAUCAUGAUAUGUGUGAUGGCUUUACCGUAUUUUUAAAUCAGUUUAGACAUUUUUAAGUACCCUUUUGACUCCUUCUUAAAAUUAGUUCUAUUUUAUGGUAUCACAUAGUGUAUAAGAACAAUAAGUCAAACAAUAUUUACAAAUUUUCUGAUUUGUUUAUGCAUUAUAAUAAAAGGAAAGAAGUAGAAGGUAGCUCAGCUUUAGUGUUGAUAAAGAGGUGGUGCAAGAUUAACCAUCAAGUCUGUGAGCAGUAUCUGGCUCCAUUCUGUUGAUUUCACCUCCAAACAUAAAUCUUGCAUAAAUCUUGCUCUCUGAUUUGAGAAAGAGUAGAUUAGUUAGGGUUAGAGUUUAUUUAGGGAUGUACCUAAGGAGUUUGUUAAGACUGUUCCUUAAGUGAGCACCACAAACUCCAAAAUGUAUUCCAUACUGUUUGUUGAACACUGGUGGUAACUAGGAAGCUGAGUUCAGACUUAAAUAUGCCAUUCAUUAGAAAUAGACGGUGAUAAAGUGACUUCAACAUUUUUGAAUUUGGUAAGUUGCCCUAACCUAGUUAAUUUCUUAAGGACAUCCGCUGUGUGAUUCUGUGAAACCCACCACAUAAUAGAAAAUAAUGAAGAGUCAAAAGAGAUUUAAGUUUUCUUGAUUCGAAGGUUGUUAAGAUAACAACAGUCCAGGGAAGAUUUGUUAUAGGGCAGCAUUUUGGAAGAUAAAUAGCUCUUUUUAAAUGUGAUUAAUUUAUUAGAGUGAGAUCUUCUACUUAAAGAUAUUUUAUAGCCAGAUAUCUUGUGUUGAACUGCGCUUGAUUUCGGUAAAUACUUAUUGAAAGACUUAAUGAGUAAGGAGUUCCUGUCAUGGCUCAGCGGAAAUGAAUCUUACUAGUGACCAUGAGGAUGCAGCUUUGAUCCCUGGCCUCGCUCAGUGGGUUAAAUAUCCGAUGUUGCCGUGAGCUGUGGUGUAGGUCGCAGAUGCGGCUUGGAUCUGUCAUUGUCGUGGCUCUGCCAGCCUGUACCAAGCCAUAGCAACGUAGGAUCUGAGCCUCAUCUUCAUCCUACAGCUUGUGGCAAAGACAGGUCUUUAACCCACUGAGUGAAGCCAGGGAUGGAACCUGCAUCCUCAUGGAUAUUAGAGGGGUUUGUUAUACUGAGCCACAACAGGAACUCCCAUCUAUUUUAAUUUUUGUAUUCACUGAAUGAUUAAUGAAGAUCUUAGGAAUGUCAAAGGGAUCAGUAAAAUAAGCCUUUAAUAAAUUUCUUUUAGUUGUUUGUGUGUAUAAUUAUUACUAAAGUAUUUGAUUACCUUUUCUGUAUCACCACUGAAGAUAAAUAAAUUAAUUAUUGUUCCUGUAAUCAUAAUGCUCCAUUCUGGUCAAGGGAGACAGACAUAUUAGGGUGACCUCAUAAUUUGUUAUACAGACUGGGCUGCUUUUGAAAGUGAGAAGAAGCUGUUUUAAUAAUUAUCUUGGGAGUUCCAUCGUGGCUCAGUGGAAACAAAUCUGACUAGUAUCCAUGAGGACGCAGGUUUGAUCCCUGGCCUAGCUCAAUUGGUUAAGGAUCCAGAGUUGCCCUGAGCUGUGGUAUAGGUCAUAGAUGUGGCUUGGAUCUGGCGUUGCUGUGGCUGUGGUGUAGGCUGGCAGCUACAGCUCCAUUUCAACUCCUAACAUGGGAACCUCCAUAUGCCAUGGGUGUGGCCCUGAAAAGACAAAAAAAAAAAAAAAAUUAUCUCGGAGCAUCAAAAAUAAACUGGGACUAGAGUUCCCGUCGUGGCUCAGUGGUUAACGAAUCUGACUAGGAAUCAUGGGGUUGUGGGUUCGAUCCCCGGCCUUGCUCAAUGGGUUGGGGAUCCAGCAUCACCGUGAGCUGUGGUGUAGGUUGCAGACUUGGAUCCCGGGUUGCUGUGGCUCUGGUGUAGGCCAGUGGUUACAGCUCCGAUUCGACCCUUGCCCUGGGAACCUCCAUAUGCUAUGGGAGCGGCCCAAGAAAUGGCAGAAAGACAAAAAAUUAAUAAAUAAAUAAAAAUAAACUGGGACUCUCCUUAGCAAACUGGGAUGUAUGAUUUAUCCUACAUAUGUGAAAUGAGUAUGAUACAGUGAAAUAUGUACAAAGUACCAUGGGAAUAUGAUACAUGUUAUAACAUGUAAAAUAAUACUAAAUGUGAAAGUGUAAGUAGUAGUAACAUUCAAAACCUGAAGGUAGGAGUUCCCGUCGUGGUGCUUUGGUUAACGAAUCCGACUAGGAACCAUGAGGUUGCGGGUUUGAUCCCUGGCCUUGCUCAGUGGGUUAAGGAUCUGGCGUUGCCAUGAGCUGUGGUGUAGGUCGCAGACGCGGCUCAGAUCUCGCGUUUCUGUGGCUGUGGUGUAGGCCAUCAGCUACAGCUCUGAUUGGACCCCUAGCCUGGGAAUUCCCAUAUGCCGAGGGAGUGGCCCUAGAAAAGGCAAAAAGACAAAAAAAAACAAAAA